This 913-nucleotide long non-coding RNA is filed under the name Medicago truncatula (barrel medic). RNAcentral's name for it is "long non-coding RNA (MTRU_LNC004750)". Lineage: Eukaryota; Viridiplantae; Streptophyta; Magnoliopsida; Fabales; Fabaceae. The record is from RNAcentral.
ACCACGCCGGAACCCUAAUUUAAUAAUUUUUUGCUUUUUUUUCGCUUAUCUUCUCCUACUUCCCUCCCUCUGUUCACUUCUAGCUUUCAAGUUCCCAAAACCCUUACUCAAACGCCUAGAUCUAAAAAAGGAAGAAAGAAAUUUAUACCUUUUGUUUAAGAAAUUGAUUCGGCUUUCUUGUGUUAACUUGGUUCGAAUCCGCUUUUGUGUGGCCGCGCGUCGGUCUUGUGUGUUGUAUUUUGAGCGUCGCUGGUACUGUAUACGGUUUGGAAAGAUUAUGUGUGGGCUUCGGCCUCUUCUCUGUGUCGCUCGUUGUUGUUGUUGUUUUCGUGCUUCUUCACUGUGUUGCUUGCUGUUGUUGUCGUUUUCGUGCUUCUUCACUGUGUUGUUUGCUGUUGUUGUUCUUGUGUUGUGCAGGCUCUAUAUUUAUAGUGCUGGGCUGAGGCUAGGGUUUGUUGAGAAUGAGCAGAAAAUCAGUAGCUUGGGGAGGAGAAAAGGGACGCGUUUCUGUUCGGAUUGGGAUGAAUGAAAUCUGGAUUGGGAAGGCAUACGCGCGUUUGGGAUUGGAUCCGCCUCUAAGGCGUGUGACAGGCUGUGUGGAUUGACGCGCGUGAACUUGGACCGUUUUAUGGACAAAAGAAAACAAAUAAGCAAUAAUAAUAAAAUGAAAGGAUGAGGACUAAAUGAUUUAGAUAAAAUAAAAAGAUUUAAAACAAAAUUUAAAGUUAAUUAAUUAAAAAGAAUUUAAUAAAAGAUGGAAACCUUAAAAAUAAAAAUAAAAAAAAAUAAAUAAAAAAAAAAUUGAGAGAAGAGGGCCCCACUCGGAAUCAAAAUGAGGUAUUUUAAAAUACCUCCCUGCCGAAUUUUUCACUGACAUGUGAGUCUGGUCCGAGUUCGAAGACGUGUGUCAGUG